Molecule: ribosomal RNA, 468 nt
Filed under: uncultured bacterium
Lineage: Bacteria
Description: partial 16S ribosomal RNA
Rfam family: Bacterial small subunit ribosomal RNA
Source: RNAcentral
GACGAACGCUGGUGGCGUGCUUAACACAUGCAAGUCGAACGGAAAGGCCCUGCUUUUGUGGGGUGCUCGAGUGGCGAACGGGUGAGUAACACGUGAGUAACCUGCCCUUGACUUUGGGAUAACUUCAGGAAACUUGGGCUAAUACCGGAUAGGAGCUCCUGCUGCAUGGUGGGGGUUGGAAAGUUUCGGCGGUUGGGGAUGGACUCGCGGCUUAUCAGCUUGUUGGUGGGGUAGUGGCUUACCAAGGCUUUGACGGGUAGCCGGCCUGAGAGGGUGACCGGCCACAUUGGGACUGAGAUACGGCCCAGACUCCUACGGGAGGCAGCAGUGGGGAAUAUUGCACAAUGGGCGGAAGCCUGAUGCAGCAACGCCGCGUGCGGGAUGACGGCCUUCGGGUUGUAAACCGCUUUCGCCUGUGACGAAGCGUGAGUGACGGUAAUGGGUAAAGAAGCACCGGCUAACUACGUG